GUUACUUUUUCUUUCCUGUGGCAUAAAUGGUAACAAAAUGCAGUGACCCAACAUAGUAUUAAGUAGAAACAGCUAAUUUUUUAAGUACCUAACUUAAGCAAGAAUGUUUAACAAAGGAAAUUUAUUUUUAUCAUUAAUUAAACACUAGAUUUUUUUCCCCAGAAAACCAGAGGAGGAAAAUGAGGCUUCAUUUCUGAGGAAGAAAAACAUGAGGAAAGAGUUCCCAGAGAGAGAAGACAAAGGCAGUCGUUGUUGCAGCAGAAGCCCAAGGCUGAAGAUUGAAGAACUGAAUAUGUAACUUUGUAAGGGACCUGGAGACAAGGAAAAUCUUGUCAGAUUCAACCCAGUUCCACAAGGACAAAAGCACACUGUGUACAGAAACUUGGUAAUUUAUUU
Molecule: long non-coding RNA, 396 nt
Filed under: Callithrix jacchus (white-tufted-ear marmoset)
Lineage: Eukaryota; Metazoa; Chordata; Mammalia; Primates; Cebidae
Description: lncRNA (ENSCJAG00000086743.1)
Source: RNAcentral